GGGCAGGAUGCUGGUGAGAACUCUGUGUGCCACGAAGGGGCCCCUUGCCCUCCAGCGGAAGUCAAGAGAGAGGCGCAAGGAUGUCUGGAUCUUAGGGGAUGUGACAGUGACUCUCCUGAGUCAACAGUGACUCUCCUGCAAAAUCAGAAGGGAGAGGGCCACGGUGGUAAGUGUGGAAGCCUCUAGAGAACCCAGCAAAGCACCCACAAGAGAUAGCCCGUCCUGAAAGCCUGCUGGUCCAGAGAGCAGCAAUCACUGUGGCCGCGCCAGUCACAGAAGAGCCCUUCCGUUCCCUUUCCUCCUGCUCUUGUUCCCUGAACUCCAACACUGGGCAGGUUGGAUGUGGGGCGAGGGAUGGGACAAACGAAGGAGAAGCCCCACCGUGGGCUUCUCCUCUAGAGCAGGCCAGAGCUGCCGGAGGAGAAAAUACCAACUUUAAACCCACUGACAUGGUGACUAUAACAUGGGAUGGCCAUUUGAAUGACAGAGGACUUGUAUUCACUGAAAUUUGCUGUACAAGUUAUUGAACUUGCUCCAAUUUUCGAGCAAGGGUAGCAGAAGAACUUGUCCCACAGAAUAAACUGAAAAGGAUAGUGGAAAGCAAAAAUAAAAUCACUUUAUAAUUUGUUCAA
Molecule: long non-coding RNA, 632 nt
Organism: Suricata suricatta (meerkat)
Lineage: Eukaryota; Metazoa; Chordata; Mammalia; Carnivora; Herpestidae
Exons: 2
Source: RefSeq, a predicted model, not a curated record